GACGAACGCUGGCGGCGUGCUUAACACGUGCAAGUCGAACGGAAAGGCCCUGCUUUUGUGGGGUGCUCGAGUGGCGAACGGGUGAGUAACACGUGAGUAACCUGCCCUUGACUUUGGGAUAACUUCAGGAAACUGGGGCUAAUACCGGAUAUGAGCUCCUGCUGCAUGGUGGGGGUUGGAAAGUUUCGGCGGUUGGGGAUGGACUCGCGGCUUAUCAGCUUGUUGGUGGGGUAGUGGCUUACCAAGGCUUUGACGGGUAGCCGGCCUGAGAGGGUGACCGGCCACAUUGGGACUGAGAUACGGCCCAGACUCCUACGGGAGGCAGCAGUGGGGAAUAUUGCACAAUGGGCGGAAGCCUGAUGCAGCAACGCCGCGUGCGGGAUGACGGCCUUCGGGUUGUAAACCGCUUUCGCCUGUGACGAAGCGUGAGUGACGGUAAUGGGUAAAGAAGCACCGGCUAACUACGUG
This 468-nucleotide ribosomal RNA is filed under the name uncultured bacterium. RNAcentral's name for it is "partial 16S ribosomal RNA". It matches the Rfam family "Bacterial small subunit ribosomal RNA", at positions 28 to 507 of the family's 1533-position model. The record is from RNAcentral.